RNAcentral lists this ribosomal RNA (370 nucleotides) under uncultured bacterium. RNAcentral's name for it is "bacterial SSU rRNA". It matches the Rfam family "Bacterial small subunit ribosomal RNA", at positions 527 to 895 of the family's 1533-position model. The record is from RNAcentral.
GUAGGAGACUAGCGUUAUUCGGAUUUACUGGGCGUAAAGCGCGUGCAGGCGGUUCGGUAAGUUGGAUGUGAAAGCUCCUGGCUUAACUGGGAGAGGUCGUUCAAUACUGCCGGACUUGAGAGUGGUAGAGGGAGUUGGAAUUCCGGGUGUAGUGGUAAAAUGCGUAGAUAUCCGGAAGAACACCAGUGGCGAAAGCGGACUCCUGGACCAUUUCUGACGCUCAGACGCGAAAGCUAGGGGAGCGAACGGGAUUAGAGACCCCGGUAGUCCUAGCUGUAAACGAUGUAGACUUGGCGUUGGAGGGGUUAAAUCCUUCAGUGCCGAAGCAAACGCGAUAAGUCUACCGCCUGGGGACUACGGCCGCAAGGUU